AGAUUGAACGCUGGCGGCAUGCCUUACACAUGCAGGUCGAACGGCAGCACGGGGGCAACCCUGGUGGCGAGUGGCGAACGGGUGAGUAACAUAUCGGAACGCGCCCUGGAGUGGGGGAUAACUAGUCGAAAGACUAGCUAAUACCGCAUACGAUCUACGGAUGAAAGUGGGGGAUCGCAAGACCUCAUGCUCGUGGAGCGGCCGAUAUCUGAUUAGCUAGUUGGUGGGUAAAGGCCUACCAAGGCAUCGAUCAGUAGCUGGUCUGAGAGGACGACCAGCCACACUGGGACUGAGACACGGCCCAGACUCCUACGGGAGGCAGCAGUGGGGAAUUUUGGACAAGUGGGCGCAAGCCUGAUCCAGCAAUGCCGCGUGAGUGAAGAGCCGUUCGGUGUAAGCUCUUGUCAGGAAGAACGGUUCU
Molecule: ribosomal RNA, 421 nt
Filed under: uncultured soil bacterium
Lineage: Bacteria
Description: bacterial SSU rRNA
Rfam family: Bacterial small subunit ribosomal RNA
Source: RNAcentral